UCAUUCCGGAAUUGGAGGCAUUGCCUGCCAGUGACAACUGUUUAACGGCCGCGGUAUCCUGACCGUGCAAAGGUAGCAUAAUCAUUUGUUCUCUAAAUAAGGACUUGUAUGAAUGGCCGCACGAGGGUUUUACUGUCUCUUACUUCCAAUCAGUGAAAUUGACCUUCCCGUGAAGAGGCGGGAAUGCACAAAUAAGACGAGAAGACCCUAUGGAGCUUUAACUAACCAACCCAAAGAGAAUAGAUUUAACCAUUAAGGAAUAACAACAAUCUCCAUGAGUUGGUAGUUUCGGUUGGGGUGACCUCGGAGAAUAAAAAAUCCUCCGAGCGAUUUUAAAGACUAGACCCACAAGUCAAAUCACUCUAUCGCUCAUUGAUCCAAAAACUUGAUCAACGGAACAAGUUACCCUAGGGAUAACAGCGCAAUCCUAUUCAAGAGUCCAUAUCGACAAUAGGGUUUACGACCUCGAUGUUGGAUCAGGACAUCCUGAUGGUGCAACCGCUAUCAAAGGUUCGUUUGUUCAACGAUUAAAGUCCUACGUGAUCUGAGUUCAGACCGGA
This 560-nucleotide ribosomal RNA is filed under the name Phascolosoma esculenta. RNAcentral's name for it is "partial 16S ribosomal RNA". It matches the Rfam family "Bacterial large subunit ribosomal RNA", at positions 1835 to 2620 of the family's 2925-position model. The record is from RNAcentral. Lineage: Eukaryota; Metazoa; Annelida; Sipuncula; Phascolosomatiformes; Phascolosomatidae.